CUUCAAGGGAGUUUUACUGGACAGGUAAGCAGCAUGAGGAUUAUGUGCAUUCAGCUACAGUAUUAAGCUGCUACAUGUAGAAGAUCUUAUUCCUGUAGUAGUUUUUAUUUUUUAAAUAUUUCUCAUUUAACAUUUUUUCUUGUGUUUGAAAAUUCAGGGAGGAGUAGUCAUGGCCAAUAAACCAGAAGGAAAAAAUAAGUUUGGUUUUCCAGAUUUGUUUGGUUUGGAUCCCAUGCUAGGCACAAGAAAUACUAUAAUCACUUCUCAAGGUAAGAAUAGCUCUGUAAAAUGUUUUCUUUCCCAACCUCCACUCUUUGCUAUUAUUCAAGGAUCCCAAAGCUCAUUUGGCAUCUUCAGAGAUAAAGAAUGUCAUUUUGAAAGACACUAAGAUUUCUCUCAGUUUAGUCAAACACUGCAUUACCAUUUCUGCACAAAUAUUA
Molecule: long non-coding RNA, 440 nt
Filed under: Anser brachyrhynchus (Pink-footed goose)
Lineage: Eukaryota; Metazoa; Chordata; Aves; Anseriformes; Anatidae
Description: lncRNA (ENSABRG00000021156.1)
Source: RNAcentral